GAGGUCCAGAGAAUAAAAGGGAGUGACCACAAAUUACUCAGCAGCCUUGACCCUGGUCACCUGAUUGGUAUGGCAGCCCAGCGUGCUUUCUGGUAUCACUCUUGUGUCUGGAGUAGAUCAAAGCCAUCAGGAAGGGUCUUAUAGGAGUCAUGCGUCUGAUGGAGCCUUCCUAGCCAACUCCUAACCUGCUUGGUUACCACAGGAUGUAUGGACUUUACUGGAACCAUCAGAGUGCACUGACCUUCUCCCACCAGUGAGUGUCCCCACACCGACUACCCAACUCUUUCCACUUGCGGCCACUUGCAUCCCGAUUGCAGCACCUAUAGCGUGACACCACCACUUACAGCCUGAACUUGGAGCUGCAGGUCGUUUUUUUCUUUCAACAGUGACACCAUCUUUUCCUCCAGUUCCUUCCUCUUUGCCUCUGACUUGGCGAGUUCGUCUUUGGUUUUCUGAAACUCCUCCUUCAUGGUGGCCAUCUCCUUCUCGGUCUCCGCGCUCUUGAGGAGGGGCUUGAUCUU
Molecule: long non-coding RNA, 521 nt
Organism: Leopardus geoffroyi (Geoffroy's cat)
Lineage: Eukaryota; Metazoa; Chordata; Mammalia; Carnivora; Felidae
Exons: 2
Source: RefSeq, a predicted model, not a curated record